UGUUCCCAUCUCGAACACAGUAGUUAAGCUCGUAAACGCCGAAAGUACUUGGCUGGAGACGGCCUGGGAGGAUAGGAAGUCGCUGAUU
This 88-nucleotide ribosomal RNA is filed under the name Veillonella sp. The record is from RNAcentral. Lineage: Bacteria; Bacillati; Bacillota; Negativicutes; Veillonellales; Veillonellaceae.